RNAcentral lists this ribosomal RNA (497 nucleotides) under uncultured bacterium. RNAcentral describes it as "partial 16S ribosomal RNA". It matches the Rfam family "Bacterial small subunit ribosomal RNA", at positions 28 to 508 of the family's 1533-position model. The record is from RNAcentral.
GACGAACGCUGGCGGCGUGCCUAAUACAUGCAAGUAGAACGCUGAAGGAAGGAGCUUGCUCUUUCUGGAUGAGUUGCGAACGGGUGAGUAACGCGUAGGUAACCUGCCUGGUAGCGGGGGAUAACUAUUGGAAACGAUAGCUAAUACCGCAUAAAAUUGAUUAUUGCAUGAUAGUCAAUUAAAAGGUGCAACUGCACCACUACCAGAUGGACCUGCGUUGUAUUAGCUAGUUGGUGGGGUAACGGCUCACCAAGGCGACGAUACAUAGCCGACCUGAGAGGGGGAUCGGCACCGUGGGGACUAGAACACGGCCGAGACCCCGAGGGGAGGCAGCAGAGGGAAAUCUUCGGCAAUGGAGGGAAGUCUAACGGAGCACCGGCGGGGGAGUGAAGAAGUUUUUGGGAGAAAAAGGCUGUUUUGAAAGAGAAAAAGGGGGGGGGGAGGGAAAAUUCCACCUUGGGGGGUUUUCUUACAGGAGGGGGAGGGAAAACACGGGC